This 430-nucleotide ribosomal RNA is filed under the name Pseudomonadota bacterium. Its description in RNAcentral is "Proteobacteria bacterium partial 16S ribosomal RNA". It matches the Rfam family "Bacterial small subunit ribosomal RNA", at positions 355 to 776 of the family's 1533-position model. The record is from RNAcentral. Lineage: Bacteria; Pseudomonadati; Pseudomonadota.
UGGGGAAUAUUGGACAAUGGGGGGAACCCUGAUCCAGCCAUGCCGCGUGUGUGAAGAAGGCCUUAUGGUUGUAAAGCACUUUAAGCGAGGAGGAGGGUACUGGUAUUAAUACUACCAGGUACUGGACGUUACUCGCAGAAUAAGCACCGGCUAACUCUGCGCCAGCAGCCGCGGUAAUACAGAGGGUGCGAGCGUUAAUCGGAUUUACUGGGCGUAAAGCGUGCGUAGGCGGCUAAUUGAGUCGGAUGUGAAAUCCCCGAGCUUAACUUGGGAAUUGCAUUCGAUACUGGUUAGCUAGAGUGUGGGAGAGGAUGGUAGAAUUCCAGGUGUAGCGGUGAAAUGCGUAGAGAUCUGGAGGAAUACCGAUGGCGAAGGCAGCCAUCUGGCCUAACACUGACGCUGAGGUACGAAAGCAUGGGGAGCAAACAGG